CGGGGGCCGAGUAGAGUGGCGCACGGGUGAGUAACACGUAGGUAAUUUGCCUUCGGGUGGGGAAUAACUCAGGGAAACUUGAGCUAAUACCGCAUAAUGCAGCGGCUCGACAUCGAGACAGUUGUUAAAGCGGGGGAUCGCAAGACCUCGCGCCUGAAGAGAAGCCUGCGGCAGAUUAGCUAGUUGGCAGGGUAAUGGCCUACCAAGGCGACGAUCUGUAACCGGCCUGAGAGGGCGGUCGGUCACACUGACACUGACAUACGGGUCAGACUCCUACGGGAGGCAGCAGUCGGGAAUUUUGGGCAAUGGGCGCAAGCCUGACUCAGCAACGCCGCGUGAAGGAUGAAAUUUUUCGGAAUGUAAACUUCGCAAGAACGGGAAGAAUAAGUAGGGGACAACACCCCCUAUGAUGACGGUACCGUUUGUAAGCUCCGGCUAACUUCGUGCCAGCAGCCGCGGUAAUACGAGGGGAGCAAGCGUUGUUCGGAUUUACUGGGCGUAAAGGGCGCGUAGGCGGCGCAACAAGUCACUUGUGAAAUCUCCGGGCUUAACUCGGAACGGUCAAGUGAAACUGUCGUGCUAGAGUACAGAAGGGGCAACUGGAAUUCUCGGUGUAGCGGUGAAAUGCGUAGAUAUCGAGAGGAACACCUGCGGCGAAGGCGGGUUGCUGGGCUGAUACUGACGCUGAUGCGCGAAAGCCAGGGGAGCGAACGGGAUUAGAUACCCCGGGUAGUCUGGCCUUAAACAAUGAAUGCUUGGUGU
This 762-nucleotide ribosomal RNA is filed under the name uncultured bacterium. RNAcentral's name for it is "bacterial SSU rRNA". It matches the Rfam family "Bacterial small subunit ribosomal RNA", at positions 80 to 823 of the family's 1533-position model. The record is from RNAcentral.